UGGGGAAUAUUGGACAAUGGGGGCAACCCUGAUCCAGCAAUGCCGCGUGUGUGAAGAAGGUUUUCGGAUUGUAAAGCACUUUCGACGGGGACGAUGAUGACGGUACCCGUAGAAGAAGCCCCGGCUAACUUCGUGCCAGCAGCCGCGGUAAUACGAAGGGGGCUAGCGUUGCUCGGAAUGACUGGGCGUAAAGGGCGUGUAGGCGGUUUGUACAGUCAGAUGUGAAAUCCCCGGGCUUAACCUGGGAGCUGCAUUUGAUACGUACAGACUAGAGUGUGAGAGAGGGUUGUGGAAUUCCCAGUGUAGAGGUGAGAUUCGUAGAUAUUGGGAAGAACACCGGUGGCGAAGGCGGCAACCUGGCUCAUUACUGACGCUGAGGCGCGAAAGCGUGG
This 392-nucleotide ribosomal RNA is filed under the name uncultured bacterium. Its description in RNAcentral is "partial 16S ribosomal RNA". It matches the Rfam family "Bacterial small subunit ribosomal RNA", at positions 355 to 764 of the family's 1533-position model. The record is from RNAcentral.